Molecule: unclassified non-coding RNA, 116 nt
Organism: Callithrix jacchus (white-tufted-ear marmoset)
Lineage: Eukaryota; Metazoa; Chordata; Mammalia; Primates; Cebidae
Rfam family: Metazoan signal recognition particle RNA
About the family: The signal recognition particle (SRP) is a universally conserved ribonucleoprotein. It is involved in the co-translational targeting of proteins to membranes.
Source: Ensembl
GCCAGGCACGGUGGCUCAUGCCUGUACUCCCAGCACUUUGGAGGCUGAGAUGGGUGGAUCACCUGAGGUCAGGAGUUCGAGAACAGCCUGGCCAACAGGGUGAAAUCCCAUCUCUA